AGAGUUUGAUCAUGGCUCAGGAUGAACGCUAGCGGCAGGCCUAACACAUGCAAGUCGAGCGGGAUUAGAUUUUAGCUUGCUAGGAUCUAUGAGAGCGGCGCACGGGUGCGUAACGCGUAUGCAACCUACCCUUUGCUGGGGGAUAGCCCGGAGAAAUUCGGAUUAAUACCCCAUAGUAUCACUGAUUCGCAUGUUUUAGUGAUUAAAGGUUACGGCAAAGGAUGGGCAUGCGUCCCAUUAGCUAGAUGGUGAGGUAACGGCUCACCAUGGCGACGAUGGGUAGGGGGCCUGAGAGGGUGGUCCCCCACACUGGUACUGAGACACGGACCAGACUCCUACGGGAGGCAGCAGUGAGGAAUAUUGGUCAAUGGGCGCAAGCCUGAACCAGCCAUGCCGCGUGCAGGAAGACGGUCCUAUGGAUUGUAAACUGCUUUUAUUUGGGAAUAAACUCCGGUACGUGUACCGGCCUGAAGGUACCAAAUGAAUAAGCACCGGCUAACUCCGUGCCAGCAGCCGCGGUAAUACGGAGGGUGCAAGCGUUAUCCGGAAUCCUUGGGUUUAAAGGGUCC
Molecule: ribosomal RNA, 569 nt
Filed under: uncultured Flavobacteriia bacterium
Lineage: Bacteria; Pseudomonadati; Bacteroidota; Flavobacteriia
Description: bacterial SSU rRNA
Rfam family: Bacterial small subunit ribosomal RNA
Source: RNAcentral